GAUGAACGCUGGCGGCGUGCCUAAUACAUGCAAGUCGAGCGAAUGGAUUAAGAGCUUGCUCUUAUGAAGUUAGCGGCGGACGGGUGAGUAACACGUGGGUAACCUGCCCAUAAGACUGGGAUAACUCCGGGAAACCGGGGCUAAUACCGGAUAACAUUUUGAACCGCAUGGUUCGAAAUUGAAAGGCGGCUUCGGCUGUCACUUAUGGAUGGACCCGCGUCGCAUUAGCUAGUUGGUGCGGUAACGGCUCACCAAGGCAACGAUGCGUAGCCGACCUGAGAGGGUGAUAGGCCAAACUGGGACUGAGACACGGCCCAGACGCCUACGGGAGGCAGCAGUAGGGAAUCUUCCGCAAUGGACGAAAGUCUGACGGAGCAACGCCGCGUGAGUGAUGAAGGCUUUCGGGUCGUAAAACUCUGUUGUUAGGGAAGAACAAGUGCUAGUUGAAUAAGCUGGCACCUUGACGGUACCUAACCAGAAAGCCACGGCUAACUACGUGCCAGCAGCCGCCGUAA
RNAcentral lists this ribosomal RNA (515 nucleotides) under uncultured bacterium. Its description in RNAcentral is "partial 16S ribosomal RNA". It matches the Rfam family "Bacterial small subunit ribosomal RNA", at positions 28 to 523 of the family's 1533-position model. The record is from RNAcentral.